Molecule: small nuclear RNA, 105 nt
Organism: Suncus etruscus (white-toothed pygmy shrew)
Lineage: Eukaryota; Metazoa; Chordata; Mammalia; Eulipotyphla; Soricidae
Source: RefSeq, a predicted model, not a curated record
GUGCUCACUGCAGCAGCACAUAUAUGAAAAUUGGAACAAUAGAGAAGAUUAACAUGGCUCCUGCACAAGGAUGACAGCCAAAAUGCCAUUUUGCUCCACUGUUGU